GUUCAUAUAAUUUAAAUAAAAUAUUAGAUUGUGAUUCUAAAUAUAGGAGUUAAAAUCUCCUUAUUAACC
Molecule: transfer RNA, 69 nt
Filed under: Onychodactylus fischeri (Fischer's clawed salamander)
Lineage: Eukaryota; Metazoa; Chordata; Amphibia; Caudata; Hynobiidae
Also listed under: 1 other name
Description: tRNA-His
Rfam family: tRNA
About the family: Transfer RNA (tRNA) molecules are approximately 80 nucleotides in length.
Source: RNAcentral